UACGUAGGGGGCAAGCGUUGUCCGGAUUUAUUGGGCGUAAAGAGCUCGUAGGCGGCUCGAAAAGUCGGCGGUGAAAACUCGGGACUCAACUCCGAGGCGCCCGUCGAUACUGUCGAGCUUGAGUCCGGUAGGGGAGUGUGGAAUUCCUGGUGUAGCGGUGAAAUGCGCAGAUAUCAGGAAGAACACCCGUGGCGAAGGCGGCUCUCUGGGACGGUACUGACGCUGAGACGCGAAAGCGUGGGGAGCGAACAGG
RNAcentral lists this ribosomal RNA (253 nucleotides) under uncultured bacterium. RNAcentral describes it as "partial 16S ribosomal RNA". It matches the Rfam family "Bacterial small subunit ribosomal RNA", at positions 524 to 776 of the family's 1533-position model. The record is from RNAcentral.